This 305-nucleotide ribosomal RNA is filed under the name uncultured bacterium. RNAcentral's name for it is "bacterial SSU rRNA". It matches the Rfam family "Bacterial small subunit ribosomal RNA", at positions 337 to 639 of the family's 1533-position model. The record is from RNAcentral.
GCCUACGGGGCGCAGCAGUGAGGAAUAUUGGUCAAUGGGCUUACGCCUGAACCAGCCAAGUCACGUGAGGGAAGACUGCCCUAUGGGUUGUAAACCCCUUUUGUCAGGGAGCAACGCCGGCUACGUGUAGCCGGACUGAGAGUACCUGAAGAAAAAGCAUCGGCUAACUCCGUGCCAGCAGCCGCGGUAAUACGGAGGAUGCGAGCGUUAUCCGGAUUUAUUGGGUUUAAAGGGUGCGUAGGCGGACUGCCAAGUCAGCGGUAAAAUAGCGGGGCUCAACCUCGUUCCGCCGUUGAAACUGGCGG